Pogona vitticeps (central bearded dragon) is the source of this 665-nucleotide non-coding RNA. The record is from RefSeq and is a predicted model, not a curated record. NCBI's taxonomy places the organism in Eukaryota, Metazoa, Chordata, Lepidosauria, Squamata, Agamidae.
GUUGCAACGAGAGUAAGCCCAUUGAAUCAGCAGUGAUAUGGGAGAAUUCUUGAACCAAUAUCUGGAUGAAAGUGAAGAAACCAAGCUCUAACACAGACAAGAUGCAGACUAUUCUUGACUUUUGACAAAGUGGAAGGAACAGAGAGGAACCAAUUAAAGCAUCUUUAUUAAGGAGGUCUAUCUACUGUCAUGCUCCAUACAAACAGUCUUGAAGGAUUCUGAGCAUCUCCCACCCAUCCUGUGCCUGAGGAUGGAGGUGAACCAACUGCUCCUGCAGAAUGACAACCCUCAAGGUGGCAAAAGGCUACAUCCCUCGACAGAAGCAGUACAGGUCCAGAAUCGGAUAAGGAGGAGGAAUGUCCUUCUAGGCCACAGAAGUGGUGCAGUACAAAGGAACAGGAUUGGCAGACUGGGCUCCAGAGGAAGUCUUGUUUAGUUAAGGGGAUGAGGGGAGUGCAUCUAGGAAACACCUGUUUUCCUCAGGAACAGUGUUCAAGUGUUAGCAGCUGAGUCCUGGAUGAGGCCCCAUCAGCCAGCAACGUAAGCCUCAAUGCUGGGACAGCAAGCCUGUAAAUGCUAGCCCCAUGCUUUAAAUCUUGCCUGUAAGGUAAAGGUUCCCCUUGACAUUUUAGUCAGUCGUGUACGACUCUAGGGGGCGGUGCUCA